Podarcis lilfordi (Lilford's wall lizard) is the source of this 73-nucleotide non-coding RNA. The record is from the annotation of a GenBank genome assembly. Lineage: Eukaryota; Metazoa; Chordata; Lepidosauria; Squamata; Lacertidae.
GGCUGGAUAGCUCAGUCGGUAGAGCAUGAGACUCUUAAUCUCAGGGCCAUAGGUUCGAGCCCCAUGUUGGGUG